UCUAUGACCAUACCACCCUUAACACACCCAGUCUCGUCUGAUCCUGGCAGCUAAGCAGAGACGCACCUGGUUAAUACUGGAAUGGAAGAAAUACGAAGAGGAGUAAGUAGUGAUUAGAA
Molecule: ribosomal RNA, 119 nt
Filed under: Jaculus jaculus (lesser Egyptian jerboa)
Lineage: Eukaryota; Metazoa; Chordata; Mammalia; Rodentia; Dipodidae
Source: RNAcentral